This 194-nucleotide ribosomal RNA is filed under the name uncultured Phialophora. RNAcentral describes it as "partial large subunit ribosomal RNA". It matches the Rfam family "Eukaryotic large subunit ribosomal RNA", at positions 40 to 232 of the family's 3401-position model. The record is from RNAcentral. Lineage: Eukaryota; Fungi; Ascomycota; Leotiomycetes.
AUAUCAAUAAGCGCAGGAAAAGAAACCAACAGGGAUUGCCUCAGUAACGGCGAGUGAAGCGGCAACAGCUCAAAUUUGAAAUCUGGUCUCUCGGGGCCCGAGUUGUAAUUUGUAGAGGAUGUUUUGGGUACCGCCCCGGUCUAAAUUUCUUGGAACAGAAUGUCAAAGAGGGUGAGAAUCCCUCUGACGGCCGA